UCCGGUUUGUCACCGGCAGUCUCCUCAGAGUCCCCAACUUAAUGCUGGCAACACGCCACGGGGGUUGCGCUCGUUGCGGGACUUAACCCAACAUCUCACGACACGAGCUGACGACAGCCAUGCACCACCUGUGCACUGGUCCCGAAGGAGGGCCGUAUUUCUACGGAUUUCCAGUGCAUGUCAAGCCCUGGUAAGGUUCUUCGCGUUGCAUCGAAUUAAACCACAUGCUCCGCUGCUUGUGCGGGGCCCCGUCAAUUCCUUUGAGUUUUAAUCUUGCGACCGUACUCCCCAGGCGGGAAGCUUAAUGCGUUAGCUGCGCCACCGACAAGUAAACUUGCCGACGGCUAGCUUCCAUCGUUUACGGCGUGGACUAC
This 374-nucleotide unclassified non-coding RNA is filed under the name uncultured bacterium. RNAcentral's name for it is "contains 16S-23S intergenic spacer region". The record is from RNAcentral.